This is a long non-coding RNA of Solanum lycopersicum (tomato), 414 nucleotides long. RefSeq lists it as uncharacterized. The record is from RefSeq and is a predicted model, not a curated record. NCBI's taxonomy places the organism in Eukaryota, Viridiplantae, Streptophyta, Magnoliopsida, Solanales, Solanaceae.
UUAUAGGUGGAUGUAUCAGUGCAAUAGUGUUACUAGAGAUAUAUCCCUAAUUGGCUGGCAAGGCUCAAAUUCUCAUCGUAUGUCCUCUUGAGUAUGUUAAGGUUUGACAUUUAUAUGGUGAAGAGGACAACCUAAACCUUAAAGAAUGCAAGUCUUGGCAAUUGAGGUUUCUGUCUAGCAAGGUAUAAGUAUUCAAAAGUAGAUCUCCCCCAUAGAAGAACAUGAUACUCAGCUGUUGUUGGUGAGCUCCAGGUUGAUUUCGAGCUUUGACGAGUCUUUACUAUGUGUAUUCUCAUAGCAUGGAUUCUAAUAUAGGCUUUGUAGACAUUGUAAAGAAUUAUCUGUAUUCAUAGUUUCACUUGUCACGUGUAUUGGUGCAGCUAGUCAACAUGUGUAGUAUAUAAGGCUUUUUUC